GACGAUCACGUGUACACUGGUGGUGACGUGAUUAGAAAUACGUCUUCAUGACGUCGCAAGUCUUUUAAAAUAAGUAAUGGUAAAAGCGGUAUAUAAAUAAAAGGGCACUUAAGUUAGCAUGUACUAAAAUCAGAUAAAAUCAAAUACGAUAGUUAAGCGACCGUGCUAGGAAUCCGGGAAUGCCUAACACCUUCUCCGGGGUUAACAGAAUUCCUUACUCGGAUUUCUGGUUCGCAGACUGUAACAGAGUCAUAAUCUUCCUCGGUUCAGGAUUCAAAUCGUUGACUUGGGACACCAUAAAUCUCCCAAGUGGGGACUUCGAAUAAAUAAUAACCAAAUCCCGUUCCGAUUGUCCUUUAAGUGGAAAAACUCCUUUACGUUCCCUUUGCGGGGGUGUAUAGUGAAAAAAUGAGGUGUGACACACCACAAUAUAACUGAAUACAUAAAAUGUUAAUAGAUUGUAUUAUUAUUCUGAUUCUAACUCUCACCAUCCAACGUGCUUGCCAACACGAAUGUCCCUGUGUAGUAAGAUUUUAGGUGACUUCCAUCCACGAUAAUAAUUGGUCUACAAUUAUCAAACCCCCUUAUAAAGGCAUACAAUGAUAUAUACACGUACAUGAAUUCAUUCUUUGGCGANNNNNNNNNNNNNNNNNNNNNNNNNNNNNNNNNNNNNNNNNNNNNNNAUACACGUACAUGAAUUCAUUCUUUGGCGAUUUUACCAUUCUUAUAUGGGAACCUGGAUAUGUCGUAUCCAUUGUAUAUAAGUAUCCUGGUAAUUUUUUAUAUGAAUCAGCCGGUUCACCUCUGAGAAAAUUCAUUGCCUUUUCUUUAGCCCUCCACGCCAAUAUAUAGCUAACGUCUACAUCUAAAUCUGAUUUCACAUCGUCAAUAAUGUCCCUCGGGGUGUAUUUCCUCUUAUGGUUUGUAAGCUUUGGCCUUAUAAUACCACAUAUAAGGCUGUUACUAGCCUGCCGCUGCUCGUACACCUUAUCCUUUGGUGGACAUGUAUGAUUAUUAUUGAAUUCUCUCACCUUGAAUAUUUCUGAUUUGUUAAUGCUUGAAGCCUUAAACCUCCAUUCACAAUCUUCUGAAAUACAUAAUAAUGCAUAGCGACAAAGAAUUAAUCAUUUUACAUUUGAUUAGCUACUUGUUUACAAAAAAUACAACUCAUUCAUCAGACAAAUAGAAUUUGACAUAUAUACAUCAUGAAUACAUAUUAACAAAUUUACAAGUGUAUAAUUAGUUUUCUAUACUACUGAUUUCCAAUAUAGUUACAUGUGUUAAAACACAAUGAAUACAACUGAAUACAUUUGUAUGAAUAUGCAAACACUUAAUACCACAGUAGACAAAAUAAGAAAAUAAUUAAAGCAACUGUUGUAUUUUUACACCAGUAAAAUACAUUUGAAUACAUGUAUUUAAGCACCAUAAACAAACAUAUGUUUUCAUAUGUGUUCAUCAGGAGGAGACACACAAAUACACAUAAAUACAACGAAGUUAAACAAAGAGCAAACCUGACAACAUUAGAAUGAUCAACCCGGAAUUGAAACCUUUGAGCUAUAGCAUAAUUCUCCAUCACCUAUUUCAAUGUAGGCUUAUCCUUAUAAACUUGUCCAGACAUAACCUCCUUUUGAUUAGUUUUUGAAAUUAUCAAAUUCUUGUGGAGUUCGAACUCUCCAAUCGCUUCUCCUGAAUUGACAAAUUCUAUAGCUAGUGUAUCAUCUGUAUCGCAACCGUACCUUUCAACUGCUAUGUUACAAUCGCUUCUCCUGAAUUGACAAAUUAUAUAGCUAGUGUAUCAUCUGUAUCACAAUCGUACCUUUCAACUGUUUCGUCUAUUUGCACAAUGUUGCCUUGAUUACACUACCUCUAGAUAUAAGCUCUUUUUCGAUAGUUGUUAUGCACAAAGGAUACACCCCAAAUUCGGUGAUCUCUUUUUGCAAUUCUACAUACACUCUGUAACCCAUAUCAUUGUAACCCUACUUCUCUUUCACUGCUCGGGUUAUCGUGAAGCUGCUAACCUAUCCCCUUCGACUGAACAUGCCCCUUCCCCUUUCACCUCUAGGAAAAACUUCUGGGAUGAGCCAUUCUACUCGUAAUUUUUAUAUUAGAGGGAAAAUUCUCGAUCCCAGACCUGGCUCCGAUCAAGGCUUAUAAAAGCAUCAACCUCAUCCUCCUAUCUUUGGGUUUGAUUUACGUGGCUCAAGACUUUGAGUCAAGAGGUCAGGUGUUCAGAAAGGUGGUGAUGCGGCAUUGGCAUUUUCAGCAAAUUCAUGAGAUAACUUGCCUUCUUUUCGUUUACGUGGCUACAUACUUGUAGCGAUCAAAGAGCAUAUUUAUUAUUAUUUAUUAUUUAUAUAAGGAAAAGGUAAUUGUAUGGGCCUUUGCUUCAAGAACAAUCGUAUUAGCGCCUUAGCAACCUGCCUUUCCAUUCUUCGAGUGCAGUUCCUUCUUGAGCCUUUUCUUUUUGACUCCUACCGAAGCAAGCCUCUCAAGUGCUGACCUUUCUUCCCACCUUUGAGCGAAGCAAGCCUCUCAAGUGCUGACCUUUCUUCCCCCCUUUGGUGAGCUGACCUUCUUGUGUCACGAGUGAUGUCAAACCUCCUUCUUGUCUUCUAUUCCGGGAAGUGGUAUAAUAGGUCCCCUAAGGGAAGCCCUUUGGCAGCUGUCCGAGCCUUCCCUUGAUUGUGCCUUUAGGCUUUCACGGAAGUGGUAUAAUAGGUCCCAUAAGGGAAGCCCUUUGGCAGUUGUCCAAGCCUUCCCUUGAUUGUGCCUUUAGGCUUUCCUCUUGCUGCUUUGUUUGCACUUUCGAAUCCGCUUCUGUAAAGAAAGGAGAAGAGAGACGCGUCGGCUAACUAAGGACGAUGAUGGAAACUAUCCCAGAAAGGUGAGCAAGAAGAGUCUUCACUACUAGCUAGUAUUGAAAGAAAAGAAGGCCUACCUUCGCUUUGUGCACUAAGAGCUUUCUUUCCUGUAGGAUAGGAAGAAUGGAAUAGGAAGAUAGAAGGAAAUUCUUCAGAGUGAAACAAGUUCCGGCCAGGAUGAUUGAGAAAGAUUCAACCAAUUUGAACCGCUCACAUCACAAUAGUAGUAGCGUAAAGGCCGUAAGUCGGGGGGCGGCCAUAACAUAAGGCUAUUACUUUCACACCUCUCUAUCUAUAGAUAGAGAGAGAUCCGCUGCGUGAGCAACCCGACUGUGCCUUACAUGUGCUCUACAGGCCGCACGUAAUCUUUCUUCCCAACGAGCCCUUUUUUUUAUUUGGAAGACGGGCAUUGCGUUCGGUUCGAAAGGCAUGGUUUUCAGUAUGUCUCCAGAUAGGGCCCCACUAGUCCGGCUAGCUAGUGAGCGGUUCUUUCGGGCGGGAAGCAGGCCGGGCCCUACGGGCGGGCAUCUCCCGCAACGCAAGCACCAUU
Molecule: long non-coding RNA, 3411 nt
Filed under: Nicotiana benthamiana
Lineage: Eukaryota; Viridiplantae; Streptophyta; Magnoliopsida; Solanales; Solanaceae
Description: long non-coding RNA (NBEN_LNC007845)
Source: RNAcentral